Molecule: long non-coding RNA, 1652 nt
Organism: Triticum dicoccoides
Lineage: Eukaryota; Viridiplantae; Streptophyta; Magnoliopsida; Poales; Poaceae
Exons: 2
Source: RefSeq, a predicted model, not a curated record
AUUGAUCCAUCUAUUGAGUUAUAACCAGGAUGAAUAUAAGGCCAAUGAUAUAAACGUCGUAUCUACAUGGCAACAUUCCCAACAAUAUUCACACGAGCAUUAUACCUGGAACAGUAGCUGAAUUUUCCCCAAUGUUUUGAGAUACAUGUAUGAUGCUUGCAUUGUUAUCUUCAACUAUUAUAGAGCUUGUAAGGUCUAGAAAGCAUUAUGCAUUAAGCAUGUGAAUAUCAGAAAUGCAGAGAACUCAUGUGUAGCACAUUAUGAUAGGUAUAAGCAUGCCCGUAGUAUUAUCUUCAACGGUUAUCACGCUUUUAAGGCCUGCAAAACAUGAUAAUAAAAGAUUGCGAAUAACCUAUGUGUAGUACUUUCUCAUAGAAAUGCAGCUUACCCGUAGUAACGUCCUCUUCUGGUUGCUGAUCAACCGCCUUGCUUCUUGAAUUACCCAUACGCACCUAUGUAAGUACAGAUUACUGACAAUUAAUGACCUAUGUCUGAAGUGAAGUUCGGAUGAGGCUUCAACUCUGCUAGAUGUUCUCUUUGAUCAUUUAUCUGUGGACCGUAUACAUUCAUCAUUUGGUCAUACUGCUGUAUUUCCACGAAGAAAACCCUUUUCAUGAUAUUAUACAGUAAAAAAGCAUGCUUGCAAUCAAUCUUCUAGCAUCAGUUUUUAUUUGUUAUGUUGUUAUUUAAUCACUAAGGGCUUGGAUAUAUAUAGCAUCCAAAUGAUCAUCAGAACUUGAUGGCACGGCAAAAGAGCAGGUUCCUGUGAUCUUUGGUCAAACCUGUAGAUAUGCAACUUGCACCUACUAUAGUACUCCUACUGUUGAGUUAAUGCAUUAGGCUUUGCGAAGCUUCAGAUCAACCUUAUCAUAUCAUAGUAUAAGUAGUUUAUUGGUCAGUUGUAUCGUUUCUCUUCAGACUGAUGGUUUACUUGUGUCACUUUUUUCAUGUGAUCCUGUUGUGAGCUGCAAACUCGAGAUCUUCUGCAGAUGUGAGAUGCAAACUCGAGAUCAGGGUGCUCCCCAAGCUCAAAAUCAUCUCAACAAGAUGGUUUAUUAUAGUACUGAAGCUUCAGGUCAUCCAUAUUGAAGGUUCAACUCUACCGUAUGGUUUACUAUAGUUGGACUUAAUACAUUACAACUAUCUGAUGGUCACCAAUGUCAUUCUUCCUUUUGGCAUACAAACCUUGACUACUGCAUGGAACCUAUUAGAUUCAAGUGUCGUAACUACCUUUUUGUUUGUGUCACUUUUUGCAUGUGAUCCGGUUGUGAGCUGCAGACUCGAGAUCCUUGGCAGAUGCUGCUACUGAUGACACCGUCUCCGAGGGCCGUCACUAGCCCCAAACUCCUAGAGUAGAAAUCAGCUGCAAGAAAACUGGGUGUCAGUUAUGUGCAAGUAAAAGAGAUGACUAUUGCCACUUGAUGCUUCUACUGACCCCGGGCAAAGAGAUGACUCACCACCUGCAAGCAUUCACAUAAAAAUAGUAAUGAAUUUGGGACUGACAAAUUGACCAAAGCAGAUAUGGCCUCAUCAUAUUCGGCAGUUAGGUGUAAAUUUCCUUUUUCAGAGUGAUUGAAUGGUGACGGAACUUGUAUUUUUCAAUUCCAGAUUCUCAAUCAACCUGGCGAGGAGUGAACAGGAGUAUAGAUCCA